UAAAGGCUACGGCUUACCCGUAGUAAGGCAUUAGAUACUGUUUAUCUGGAAUGCGGUUGAGGGAGACAGAAUUCCUGGUGUAGCGGUGGAAUGCGCAGAGAUCAGGAGGAAUACCGAAGGCGAAGGCAGUCUUCUAAGCCGAAAUUGACGCUAAACUGCGAAGGUGUGGGGAUCAAACAGGAUUAGAUACCCUGGUAGUCCACACAGUAAACGAUAAUCACUAGGUGUUGGGUUCUUAAGAGGACUCGGUGCCGGAGCUAACGCGAUAAGUGAUUCGCCUGGGGAGUACGAUCGCAAGGUUGAAACUCAAAGG
Molecule: ribosomal RNA, 313 nt
Filed under: uncultured bacterium
Lineage: Bacteria
Description: bacterial SSU rRNA
Rfam family: Bacterial small subunit ribosomal RNA
Source: RNAcentral